UGAGAUGUUGGGUUAAGUCCCGCAACGAGCGCAACCCUUGCCUUUAGUUGCCAGCAGUUCGGCUGGGCACUCUAAAGGGACUGCCGGUGGUUAAACCGGAGGAAGGUGGGGAUGACGUCAAGUCCUCAUGGCCUUUAUGACCAGGGCUACACACGUACUACAAUGGCCGGUACAAAGGGUUGCCAAGCCGCGAGGUGGAGCUAAUCCCAUAAAACCGAUCGUAGUCCGGAUCGCAGUCUGCAACUCGACUGCGUGAAGUCGGAAUCGCUAGUAAUCGUGAAUCAGAAUGUCACGGUGAAUACGUUCCCGGGCCUU
This 315-nucleotide ribosomal RNA is filed under the name uncultured Pseudomonas sp. RNAcentral describes it as "bacterial SSU rRNA". It matches the Rfam family "Bacterial small subunit ribosomal RNA", at positions 1068 to 1382 of the family's 1533-position model. The record is from RNAcentral. Lineage: Bacteria; Pseudomonadati; Pseudomonadota; Gammaproteobacteria; Pseudomonadales; Pseudomonadaceae.